AUUUUGUCAUGUAUGCCCUAUCACAGGAGGUUACAGGAGUGCGAAUCCCACUGCUCUGCAAUUUGGAAAGCAAAACUACCUCUACAUCAUUUACAAAUACCAGUAACAAAAUCAAUGAAAAUUGAUGGCAAACAGCCAGGGAUGACAAAGAGCCUUCUAUUGAUUUGGAGGAUUGUGUAACAGAGUACAACAUUUAGUCAAUGCGUCAUUUCCUGGUUAUCAGCUACAAACUGAAUCCCUGAAGAGCUGCAAUAAUCGUGUCAUGGUUAUUAAUCCUACUAUUCAAAGUGAUCAGGCGCCAAGGGCACGCAGCUCAUAGACAGUUGAUGCUCAUAUUGAUGGUGUUGUCAAUAAAUAAAAUUGCCAAAAUUUGUGGGAAAUAGUAUAAUCGUAAAGUAGCACCAAGCACUGUCUGUAAUUUCAAAGCUCUAAACUGUA
Molecule: long non-coding RNA, 438 nt
Organism: Mobula hypostoma (lesser devil ray)
Lineage: Eukaryota; Metazoa; Chordata; Chondrichthyes; Myliobatiformes; Myliobatidae
Exons: 3
Source: RefSeq, a predicted model, not a curated record